GAUUAAUCAUGGUUUCUACAGCCAAGGUAAAAGCUAUAGAUUUUUUCAGGUUUGGCCUUAAGGACAAAACGUGCAAGAUUUUGAAAGGUUAAGGACACCGCCUGUAAACUUUCGGCCAAAAGGACAGCGCCUGAAAUUUGAUGUAAGCGUAAAGUACAAAACUUGUAAUUUACUCAUUGUUAUAUAUACCCUUUAAGGAUGAUUAUGAUAUUAC
This 214-nucleotide long non-coding RNA is filed under the name Helianthus annuus (common sunflower). RNAcentral describes it as "sRNA HanXRQr2_Chr17g0781591". The record is from RNAcentral. Lineage: Eukaryota; Viridiplantae; Streptophyta; Magnoliopsida; Asterales; Asteraceae.